GAAAGGGGAGCCUGAGCGGCAGGCUGAGAGGAAAGAGAGUUUCGACCCGUAACCUGAUUUGGGUAAUGCCAACGUAGGGAAAUAGUGAAUU
RNAcentral lists this non-coding RNA (91 nucleotides) under uncultured Lachnoclostridium sp. The record is from RNAcentral. Lineage: Bacteria; Bacillati; Bacillota; Clostridia; Lachnospirales; Lachnospiraceae.